GCACUGGUGGUUCAGUGGUAGAGUUCUCGCCUUCCAUGUGGGAGACCCGGGUUUGAUUCCUGACCAAUGCA
RNAcentral lists this transfer RNA (71 nucleotides) under Loxodonta africana (African savanna elephant). It matches the Rfam family "tRNA". Rfam says of the family: Transfer RNA (tRNA) molecules are approximately 80 nucleotides in length. Their secondary structure includes four short double-helical elements and three loops (D, anti-codon, and T loops). Lineage: Eukaryota; Metazoa; Chordata; Mammalia; Proboscidea; Elephantidae. The record is from Rfam by way of RNAcentral.